UGUUAUGAAUCAUGUAAAUAUCAGAUA
Molecule: non-coding RNA, 27 nt
Filed under: Mus musculus (house mouse)
Lineage: Eukaryota; Metazoa; Chordata; Mammalia; Rodentia; Muridae
Source: RNAcentral